This 522-nucleotide ribosomal RNA is filed under the name uncultured Glomus. RNAcentral describes it as "SSU rRNA". It matches the Rfam family "Eukaryotic small subunit ribosomal RNA", at positions 569 to 1092 of the family's 1831-position model. Lineage: Eukaryota; Fungi; Glomeromycota; Glomeromycetes; Glomerales; Glomeraceae. The record is from RNAcentral.
AGCAGCCGCGGUAAUUCCAGCUCCAAUAGCGUAUAUUAAAGUUGUUGCAGUUAAAAAGCUCGUAGUUGAAUUUCGGGGUCAGUAGGUUGGUCAUGCCACUGGUAUGUACUGGCCUCACUGAUUCCUCCUUCCUGAUGAGCCGUAAUGCCAUUAAUUUGGUGUUGCGAGGAAUCUGGACUGUUACUUUGAAAAAAUUAGAGUGUUUAAAGCAGGCUAACGCUUGAAUACAUUAGCAUGGAAUAAUGAAAUAGGACGUUCGAUCUUAUUUUGUUGGUUUCUAAGAUUGACGUAAUGAUUAAUAGGGAUAGUUGGGGGCAUUAGUAUUCAAUUGUCAGAGGUGAAAUUCUUGGAUUUAUUGAAGACUAACUACUGCGAAAGCAUUUGCCAAGGAUGUUUUCAUUAAUCAAGAACGAAAGUUAGGGGAUCGAAGACGAUCAGAUACCGUCGUAGUCUUAACCAUAAACUAUGCCGACUAGGGAUCGGAUGAUGUUAAUUUUUUAAUGACUCAUUCGGCGCCUUACG